AGAUUGACUUGAACAAUAGACACAUCAAUUUCACAAAAAUGGGAAUCAUCACCUUAGAUGUACUGGCAGAUGCUCUUUACGACCUUAUUCUUGUAGCUGAUCCAAACUUUACGACACCUAGAAGUGAAUGUGAUAUUUCCAAAUUGUACGACAUACACAGAAACAAAAUGAAUAAAUUAAUUCCAAGCCGUGGGAAAUGGGGAGGUAAAUGGGUAGAUAUAAAUCCAAAUGCUACAGCUCCUGGAGAUGAUAUAGAACGUAUUAGAUUAACUAGGAAUGAACUUCAACAUUCCAGCAAAUUUGAGCUACCUGACGCACGAUUUGCUCAACUCUGCAACCUACAUAAAAAGUUGUUGGGUAGGUUUGAAAAUAUAAAUAAUGUUUCUGAUUAUGUCCAGCGGUUUGAAAACAUACUAAAGAAGAAGAUAGCAUUUCUGGACUGGAAAAGAUGCAAA
This 455-nucleotide long non-coding RNA is filed under the name Mytilus galloprovincialis (Mediterranean mussel). Lineage: Eukaryota; Metazoa; Mollusca; Bivalvia; Mytilida; Mytilidae. The record is from RNAcentral.